This 286-nucleotide ribosomal RNA is filed under the name uncultured bacterium. Its description in RNAcentral is "partial 16S ribosomal RNA". It matches the Rfam family "Bacterial small subunit ribosomal RNA", at positions 524 to 794 of the family's 1533-position model. The record is from RNAcentral.
UACGAAGGGUGCAAGCGUUAAUCGGAAUUACUGGGCGUAAAGCGCGCGUAGGUGGUUUGUUAAGUUGAAUGUGAAAGCCCCCGGGCGUCAACCUGGGAACGUGCAUCCAAAACCUAGGCGAAGCUAGAGUAUGGCAGAGGGUGGGUGGAAUUUCCUUGUGUAGCGGUGGAAAUAGCGUAGAUAUAGGAAGGAACACCAGUGGCGAAGGCGACCACCUGGGCGUAAUACUGACACUGAGGUGCGAAAGACGUGGGGAGGCAAACAAGGAUUAGAUACCCGGGUAGGU